UAGAGUUUGAUCCUGGCUCAGAUUGAACGCUGGCGGCAUGCCUUACACAUGCAAGUCGAACGCGAAAGCGGGGCAACCCGCAAGUAGAGUGGCGAACGGGUGAGUAAUACAUCGGAACAUAUCCAGUAGCGGGGGAUAACCUGUCGAAAGAUAGGCUAAUACCGCAUACGAUCUACGGAUGAAAGCAGGGGACCGCAAGGCCUUGCACUAUUGGAGUGGCCGAUGUCAGAUUAGCUAGUUGGUGGGGUAAAAGCCUACCAAGGCGACGAUCUGUAGCUGGUCUGAGAGGACGAUCAGCCACACUGGAACUGAGACACGGUCCAGACUCCUACGGGAGGCAGCAGUGGGGAAUUUUGGACAAUGGGCGCAAGCCUGAUCCAGCCAUGCCGCGUGAGUGAAGAAGGCCUUCGGGUUGUAAAGCUCUUUCGGUGAAGACGAAACGGUUAGCGCUAAUAACGCUGACUAAUGACGGUACUCACAGAAGAAGCACCGGCUAACUACGUGCCAGCAGCCGCGGUAAUACGUAGGGUGCAGGCGUUAAUCGGAAUUACUGGGCGUAAAGCGUGCGCAGGCGGUUUGUUAAGGCAGGUGUGAAAUCCCCGGGCUUAACCUGGGAAUUGCGCUUGCAACUGGCAAGCUAGAGUGUGGCAGAGGGGGGUGGAAUUCCACGUGUAGCAGUGAAAUGCGUAGAUAUGUGGAGGAACACCGAUGGCGAAGGCAGCCCCCUGGGUUAACACUGACGCUCAUGCACGAAAGCGUGGGGAGCAAACAGGAUUAGAUACCCUGGUAGUCCACGCCCUAAACUAUGUCAACUGGUUGUCGGGGAAGAAAUUCCUUGGUAACGAAGCUAACGCGUGAAGUUGACCGCCUGGGGAGUACGGCCGCAAGGUUAAAACUCAAAGGAAUUGACGGGGACCCGCACAAGCGGCGGAUUAUGUGGAUUAAUUCGAUGCAACGCGAAAAACCUUACCUACCCUUGACAUGCUAGGAAGUCCGCAGAGAUGUGGAUGUGCCCGAAAGGGAACCUGGACACAGGUGCUGCAUGGCUGUCGUCAGCUCGUGUCGUGAGAUGUUGGGUUAAGUCCCGCAACGAGCGCAACCCUUGCCAUUAGUUGCUACAUUCAGUUGAGCACUCUAAUGGGACCGCCGGUGACAAACCGGAGGAAGGUGGGGAUGACGUCAAGUCCUCAUGGCCCUUAUGGGUAGGGCUUCACACGUAAUACAAUGGUCGGUACAGAGGGUUGCCAACCCGCGAGGGGGAGCUAAUCCCAGAAAGCCGAUCGUAGUCCGGAUUGUAGUCUGCAACUCGACUGCAUGAAGCCGGAAUCGCUAGUAAUCGCGGAUCAUCAUGUCGCGGUGAAUACGUUCCCGGGUCUUGUACACACCGCCCGUCACACCAUGGGAGUGGGUUCCACCAGAAGUAGUUAGCCUAACCGCAAGGGGGGCGAUUACCACGGUGAGAUUCAUGACUGGGGGAAGUCGAACAAGGAACCAAGGCGAUCGCGCGAUCGG
This 1512-nucleotide ribosomal RNA is filed under the name uncultured bacterium. Its description in RNAcentral is "bacterial SSU rRNA". It matches the Rfam family "Bacterial small subunit ribosomal RNA". The record is from RNAcentral.